AAACUCUGCAAUGUGGGCAACCACGACAGGGGAACUCCCAGUGCCGGCACUAUGUGCCGGCUGUUUCCAUGUCUAAAAAACAUGGAGAGUAAGGGCUGGGUAAGACGGGUGCCAGCCGCCGCGGUAAUACCCGCAGCUCAAGUGGUCGCCGCUAUUAUUGGGCCUAAAGCGUCCGUAGCCGGCUCUGUAAAUGCCCGGGUAAAUCGACGUGCUUAACACGUCGAAUUUCGGGUAGACUGCAGGGCUCGGGACCGGGAGAGGCUGGAGGUACUCCGGGGGUAGGGGUGAAAUCCUGUAAUCCCUGGGGGACCACCGGUGGCGAAGGCGUCCAGCUGGAACGGGUCCGACGGUGAGGGACGAAGCCCUGGGGAGCAAACCGG
RNAcentral lists this ribosomal RNA (380 nucleotides) under uncultured archaeon. RNAcentral describes it as "bacterial SSU rRNA". It matches the Rfam family "Archaeal small subunit ribosomal RNA", at positions 345 to 727 of the family's 1478-position model. The record is from RNAcentral.